UAACAAUUUUACACGUCUCGAAAUGUAAAAAAAUUAGAUGCGCUGCUUUAUAUAUUUCUCAUUCAACUACUUCAUUUUGUUCAUUUACAUUCUUGUUCUCUCCGUGAAGAAAUGUAGACAGUCAUUAUCGAUACUAAUUGCAAACUAUAUUCAAAAUCCUAUUCAACGUCUGUGUAUAAAAUAAUUUAUUCCCUCGAGAUUAAAUUAAGUUUUCAGUGUGUGUGUGUGUGUGUGUGUGUGUGUGUGUGUGUUGUACAUUCGAAAUAUGCAUGAGAUAGCGCGUCUCUUUAAUUGAAAAUAUCUCUACAGGAAAGCUUUGUGAUCUUUAUAAUUAAUAAAAUCAAGUCUCUCGAGUGUUGUUACGUGCUCAUAAUUUAUAACACUAUUAAAUUUUGAUAUAACAUUUAUAGCCAAUUAUAACUGGUAUAAAAUAUCGGUUUCCCCUAAUAAGAAAAAAAGUCAAGACUUGAAGAAGCUCUCAAAGUUCGACAUUUCGUAUGAAAAACAAUUUCAUCCUUUUGCAAUUUUUUUCUUCUUUUUUUUGUAAAUAGCAGUAAUUAGAUUAUUAAACUAUGAGCAAUGUGUGGUUAACUUCACACGUUAACUUUAUACAAAGGAAAUUCAGGUUCGUUGCACGACGUAAUUACACAUCAAGCGAGUAAUUAUACAAGUUUUCGAAGUUUGGCAUUUUGCAUGUAAAACCGCCCCUGUUUUGUGUACAGCAGUAAUUAUUAAAUAAACAAUUUUUAUGGAUACACAUGGAUGAUUUCUAUUGACGAAAAGCGAAACCGAUUCGCGGGAAAUGUUCGAUAUCGUUCGAUAUCGUUUGCUAAAGGGAAAGGGAACAUAAACCUUCCCCCGAGUUCGCGAGAUAAUGAUUUCUCGGCGUCGCUAUCACCAUCUUGCCACCUCGACGCGGAAUCGACGUUCCGCGUGUGAUCGAUCGAUCCACGUGGGUGUACAUACUCCCCGCGCAGUUUUCCAACGACGACUUUUCCAACCGUAAGAGGGGGUGGAGAUAAAUUAUUACUCGCGCGCGCGCGACUAGUGAAUGAAAAGCGACAUAGCGCUCGGCACGUCCGCGCGCGUUCGCUAUACGUAUAUACCCCUUUGCUAUCUUUACCGGCGAUGUGCGACGAGAUCUAGGAAAAGACUACGCUCGACGUGUCUCCCGCGAUCGAAUUCGGUUUAUUAUACAAGAGCGUACACCACCACUCGGAGUGAGGGUCAGCGACCACCAGCUUGCAGCACGCCGGCCUAUACAUCCCAGGGCCGAGACACAGUGAAAUCGGUAUCAGGAACGAGUGAGCAUGAUAUUACAACGAUGCAUAAUAAAGUAAUAUCAGAAAUAAACCGCUGGAUAAUUUCGAUGUGCGGAAAGAAAUUUGUUCGAGAAGUCGAUUAGUCGGAGAAUUGGGGAAUUAGGGUUUUCGUUCGAGCGGAAUAUUUUGUUUAAGGUUUAAGUGCAAGAAGUUGCAAGCCAACAGCUGUUCAAACAUUACCACGGACUAAUUCUUCGGUUAACGGUUUGGAACAAUCCGGAUGUAAUAUAAAAGUCUAUUAUCGAAGGCGGACACGAGAGCAGGUUCCAGUCGAGCGAACGGCCCGUACUUAAUCAUCGUGCGUUCGUUUCAUUGGCGAGCCGGUUGCAGCGAUGCCGACACGUGAGGCUCAUUUGCAUCUCGUUACAUCGCGCCGAUUAAUAAUCGGCCGUUAGAGAGAUGCGACUUUGUCGAUCGAAGAAACGCGUUGCUAUCUGACUAGUAGAUAUAUAUAUGUCACACACUGAAAGCGCGCAUGUGGUCCAGCUGAUAGAACUUGUGCCUUAUCGCGGAGAGCGAUUGUGUCCGCGACCGAGCCGAGUCAAUAUCGAAUUCAAAGGAUUAUCGCGCGAGAUGCGCCGAGGUCGAGAUACAAUGAAAUAUGAGAACGAGAUACGAAGACGGAGGUGACAAAGUUUAAGAAUCGCAGCGCGAACAGGAUGCGUUAUGAUAGUAUUAACGGAAAUUAUUUAAAGAAAAUAUUAAGUGUGUCAAUUCUCACUACUUUGAUGUUAUUUUCGGAAAAAAAAAAAAAUAUUCGACAUUCCUUGAAUAUACAUAGCCACUGAAUUCAAUAAUUUUAGAAUUUAGAUUAUCAUGUUUAUAACGUUGAUACGUGUGAAAAAGAACAGUUUUAUUCACAGUAUCUAUUUUAGUUGAAUACAGAUCUGAAAAUAAUUAUUUAGUUAGAUCAAAAAACAUUAUCAAGGAUACUGAUGCUGAUUAUUAAAACGUCAACAUUUUUUACAGCAUUGUUCGAGUUUCUUACGUAAUUAGUUUGAUUCAAAAUUCAAUUUUUAGAUAUUUCAGCAAAAUCGUUCUUUCCAAGCAUCUGCCGAUGGCAAAAACACAAAUUACUAAAACACUUAGAAAUGGAGUAAAAAACGAGUAUUGCACACUGAAAUCUUUUUCCCCAUUUGAAGAUGUUGAAGAAUACGUAAUAAACUUUAUCUACCUA
Long non-coding RNA from Acromyrmex echinatior (Panamanian leafcutter ant), 2499 nucleotides. RefSeq lists it as uncharacterized. The record is from RefSeq and is a predicted model, not a curated record. Lineage: Eukaryota; Metazoa; Arthropoda; Insecta; Hymenoptera; Formicidae.